AAUCCUACGGGGCGCCGCAGUAGGGCUUCUUCCAGUUUUGACGAAAGUCUGAUGGAGCAACGCCGCGUGAGUGAAGAAGGGUUUCGGCUCGUAAAGCUCUGUUGGUAGUGAAGAAAGAUAGAGGUAGUAACUGGCCUUUAUUUGACGGUAAUUACUUAGAAAGUCACGGCUAACUACGUGCCAGCAGCCGCGGUAAUACGUAGGGGGCAAGCGUUGUCCGGAUUUAUUGGGCGUAAA
This 237-nucleotide ribosomal RNA is filed under the name uncultured bacterium. RNAcentral's name for it is "partial 16S ribosomal RNA". It matches the Rfam family "Bacterial small subunit ribosomal RNA", at positions 335 to 564 of the family's 1533-position model. The record is from RNAcentral.